UGAGGAAUAUUGGUCAAUGGACGAGAGUCUGAACCAGCCAAGUAGCGUGAAGGAUGACUGCCUUAUGGGUUGUAACUUCUUUUAUACGGGAAUAAAGUUCAGCACGUGUGCUGUUUGUUAUGUACCGUAUGAAUAAGGAUCGGCUAACUCCGUGCCAGCAGCCGCGGUAAUACGGAGGAUCCGAGCGUUAUCCGGAUUUAUUGGGGUUUAAAGGGGAGCGUAGGCGGAUGCUUAAGUCAGUUGUGAAAGUUUGCGGCUCAACCGUAAAAUUGCAGUUGAUACUGGGUGUCUUGAGUACAGUAGAGGUAGGCGGAAUUCGUGGUGUAGCGGUGAAAUGCUUAGAUAUCACGAAGAACUCCGAUUGCGAAGGCAGCCUGCUGGACUGUAACUGACGCUGAUGCUCGAAAGUGUGGGUAUCAAACAGGAUUAGAUACC
Molecule: ribosomal RNA, 435 nt
Filed under: uncultured bacterium
Lineage: Bacteria
Description: bacterial SSU rRNA
Rfam family: Bacterial small subunit ribosomal RNA
Source: RNAcentral